Molecule: transfer RNA, 52 nt
Filed under: Clostridiales bacterium
Lineage: Bacteria; Bacillati; Bacillota; Clostridia; Eubacteriales
Description: tRNA-Ser
Rfam family: tRNA
About the family: Transfer RNA (tRNA) molecules are approximately 80 nucleotides in length. Their secondary structure includes four short double-helical elements and three loops (D, anti-codon, and T loops). Further hydrogen bonds mediate the characteristic L-shaped molecular structure. tRNAs have two regions of fundamental functional importance: the anti-codon, which is responsible for specific mRNA codon recognition, and the 3' end, to which the tRNAs corresponding amino acid is attached (by aminoacyl-tRNA synthetases). tRNAs cope with the degeneracy of the genetic code in two manners: having more than one tRNA (with a specific anti-codon) for a particular amino acid; and 'wobble' base-pairing, i.e. permitting non-standard base-pairing at the 3rd anti-codon position.
Source: RNAcentral
CAACGGCCUUCUAAGCCGUGUGUCGGGGGUUCGACUCCCUCCAGGCGCACCA